AUCUCUCGGCGCAUAAACUAUUUCUUGAGGUAACGGAUCACCAACACGAUGAUGCCUAGCUGACCUGAAAGGGUAAUCGGCAACCUUGCGACUGACACUCUGCGGAGACUCCUACAGGACGUCUCACUUGGGAUUCUUUCUCAAUGGACACAUGUCUGAUGGAUCAGCAACCUCUUGAGUGAAUAAAGGUUUCUGCUCUUAAAGCUCUGUUGUUGAAAAAGACCGUGUAUCAUAAUAACUGUUCACCCAGUGACGGUAUUUAGCCAGAAAGCCACGGCUAACUACGUGCCAUCUCCCUCGGUAGUACUUAUGUGACAAAUGGUAUCUUGAUUUAUUGGGCGUAAAUCCAGCGCACGCAGUCUUUUAAGUCUAAUGUCGAACGCCUUCGGCUCAUCCGAACAAGUGCGUUGUAAACUGGUAGAAUUAAAUGCAAAAUACGUCAAUGGAACUCCAUGUGUAGCGUUGAAAUGCGUACAUCUGUCGAAGAACGCCAGUGACUAAUGC
RNAcentral lists this ribosomal RNA (504 nucleotides) under Pediococcus sp. EDB-LI4. RNAcentral's name for it is "bacterial SSU rRNA". It matches the Rfam family "Bacterial small subunit ribosomal RNA", at positions 228 to 722 of the family's 1533-position model. The record is from RNAcentral. Lineage: Bacteria; Bacillati; Bacillota; Bacilli; Lactobacillales; Lactobacillaceae.